AUGCAACUGCCAUUGGGAUACACCCUGUGCUCGCUUUGAAUGAAAUGCAAGCAAGUGAACACAGCUGGUGGUAUCCAGUGGCCGUUUGGCAU
This is a non-coding RNA of Drosophila melanogaster (fruit fly), 92 nucleotides long. Its record names the gene mir-317. The record is from Ensembl. NCBI's taxonomy places the organism in Eukaryota, Metazoa, Arthropoda, Insecta, Diptera, Drosophilidae.